CAGUAGCCACGGGAAUACGGAGGGGGCUAGCGUUGUUCGGAAUUACUGGGCGUAAAGCGCACGUAGGCGGCUUGGUAAGUUAGAGGUGAAAGCCUGGAGCUCAACUCCAGAAUUGCCUUUAAGACUGCCGAGCUAGCAGGUGAGAGAGGUAAGUGGAAUUCCGAGUGUAGAGGUGAAAUUCGUAGAUAUUCGGAAGAACACCAGUGGCGAAGGCGGCUUACUGGCUCAUACUGGACGCUGAGGUGCGAAAGCGUGGGGAGCAAACAGGAUUAGAUACCCGCGUAGUCCCUGUCUCUUAUAU
Molecule: ribosomal RNA, 301 nt
Filed under: uncultured bacterium
Lineage: Bacteria
Description: partial 16S ribosomal RNA
Rfam family: Bacterial small subunit ribosomal RNA
Source: RNAcentral